GGAUUCCCCUAGUAACUGCGAGUGAAGCGGGAAAAGCUCAAAUUUAAAAUCUGGCGGUUUGGCCGUCCGAGUUGUAGUCUGGAGAAGUGCUUUCCGCGCUGGACCGUGUAUAAGUCUCUUGGAACAGAGCGUCAUAGAGGGUGAGAAUCCCGUCUUUGACACGGACUACCAGUGCUUUGUGAUGCGCUCUCAAAGAGUCGAGUUGUUUGGGAAUGCAGCUCAAAAUGGGUGGUAAAUUCCAUCUAAAGCUAAAUAUUGGCGAGAGACCGAUAGCGAACAAGUACCGUGAGGGAAAGAUGAAAAGCACUUUGGAAAGAGAGUUAAACAGUACGUGAAAUUGCUGAAAGGGAAACGCUUGAAGUCAGUCGCGUUGUAUGGAACUCAACCUCGCUUUUGCGUGGUGCACUUUCUGUACGACGGGCCAGCAUCGAUUUUGACCGUCGGAUAAAGGUUGAGGGAAUGUGGCACCUUCGGGUGUGUUAUAGCCUUCAAUCGCAUACGACGGUUGGGAUCGAGGAACCCAGCGCGCCGCAAGGCAGGGGUUUUGCCCACUUUCGCGCUUAGGAUGCUGGCAUAAUGGCUUUAAACGACCCGUCUUGAAACACGGACCAAGGAGUCUAACAUACCUGCGAGUGUUKGGGUGGAAAACCCGAGCGCGUAAUGAAAGUGAAAG
This 673-nucleotide ribosomal RNA is filed under the name Neofavolus alveolaris. RNAcentral's name for it is "eukaryotic LSU rRNA". It matches the Rfam family "Eukaryotic large subunit ribosomal RNA", at positions 72 to 731 of the family's 3401-position model. Lineage: Eukaryota; Fungi; Basidiomycota; Agaricomycetes; Polyporales; Polyporaceae. The record is from RNAcentral.